UURUGUUUGWUCYUGGCUCAGRGCGAACGCKGGSGGCAGGCUUAACACAUGCAAGUCGAGCGGGCGUAGCAAUACGUCAGCGGCAGACGGGUGAGUAACGCGUGGGAAYGUACCUUUUGGUUCGGAACAACWCAGGGAAACUUGUGCUAAUACCGGAUAAGCCCUUACGGGGAAAGAUUUAUCGCCGAAAGAUCGGCCCGCGUCUGAUUAGCUAGUUGGUGAGGUAAUGGCUCACCAAGGCGACGAUCAGUAGCUGGUCUGAGAGGAUGAUCAGCCACAUUGGGACUGAGACACGGCCCAAACUCCUACGGGAGGCAGCAGUGGGGAAUAUUGGACAAUGGGGGCAACCCUGAUCCAGCCAUGCCGCGUGAGUGAUGAAGRCCCUAGGGUUGUAAAUCUYUUUUGUGACUGAAGAUAAUGACCCACGCASMUMGCWGC
Molecule: ribosomal RNA, 438 nt
Filed under: uncultured Bradyrhizobium sp.
Lineage: Bacteria; Pseudomonadati; Pseudomonadota; Alphaproteobacteria; Hyphomicrobiales; Nitrobacteraceae
Description: partial 16S ribosomal RNA
Rfam family: Bacterial small subunit ribosomal RNA
Source: RNAcentral